GUGUUUCUGUCGGCAAGAACGAACGAAGAGCACACUACGCAACUAUUUAGAAUUCAAGGAUAUUUUUCUCUCAUUUUCCUGGAAAGUUUACUCAAAAAAUGAUGAAGAGAGGGUCGAAUGUGUAUGGUAUAAUGAGUGAUAGCUCGGCUUCGACGACGACGAUAACUUCGUCGUCGUCCUUUACGUUGAGAGAUGAAUGCGUAGAGUGGGAGAUGAGACCAGGAGGAAUGCUGGUCCAGAAAAGAAACGAAAAGAUCGAAGUUCCACCUACUAUCUUACGCCUCCGAGUAUCGUACGGUGCUCUCCGAUACGAGAUCUCGGUGAAUUCUCAAGCAACUUUUGGGGAGUUGAAGAAGCUUCUAAUGGCGGAGACAGGAUUACCGCCGGCUGAUCAGAGGCUAAUGUACAAAGGAAAAGAACGCGAAAAUGGACAAUAUCUGGACACGUGCGGAGUCAAAGAUCGAUCAAAAGUCAUACUAAUCGAGGACCCAGCAAGCAUAGAGAGAAGAUACAUUCAGAUGCGUAAAAACUCCAGGAUCCAGAGCGCUCAUCGUGCCAUCUCUAGCGUAACCAUGGAGGUUGAUAAGCUUGCAGAGCAGGUGACCACCACCCAUUUUAAUUUUCUUGAAUUUUUUUAUGAACUUCUAAAAAUUAUUAUUGGGUCAAAACUUGGAGUGGGUGACGGUGACUGUCACAAUCAAAACAGCCUGGCUUAGAAUCUUGACAAAUUGGGUUAAUUUGGAGUUUGUGGCUAUGGCCUUUUGAGAAAGAUCGAUGGAGAGGCUCCUGACUCCUGUGUACUAUCCACUUAUAUCAGCAGCUUUAUGGGCCAAUAAAGUCUGGCAAUUCUAGGGUAGUGACUGCUAUUGCUAGGAAUGCAAAUUUUCCUCCGUGUCCCUCGUAAUCCUUGUCAGCUAUUGCAUAUCGGAAAUAUGAUCCCAGCCUAGGCAAUGCAUGGCCCUGUUCAAGUUUAGUUUUUUCCAUUGAAGUCAGUUAAAUUGAAGCUUCAUUUUCUUAUUGUGUUGCAGGUUUCUGCAAUUGAAAAAUCUAUCUCUAGUGGAAUUAAGGUGCCAGAAGUUCAAAUCACAACAUUAAUUGAGAUGCUCAUGAGACAGGCACUUAAGCUAGAUAGCAUUUCUGCAGAAGGAGAUGCUGCUUGUCUCAAAAUUUUGCAGGUAUAUUUGCAAUGCCUUUCCCUCUUUAAUGUUUGUUUAACCCAUAUUACUAUAGCAUAAGUGCCACUAUUUGCCUUAGGCAUUGCAGAAGCAUAGAAGAAAACUAAUUCAUGAUACCAUUACCUGCCAAAAUAAUAAUAAUAAUGCUAGCGUUGGUAAAAGAGUCUUUUAAGAAGUGCAAAAAUGACAUUGGAAUUGAUUUAUGCAGAGUAAGAGAGUGCAGAAGUGUGUGGAAACUCUUGAUGUGCUAAAGAUAUCCAAUGCAAAAGUAAAGCCUGUUAUUGCCACAACUAAAUGGGAGACCUUUGAUCCUCCUUCGGCCUUGGCUCAGUGGGAAAUUUUUUAUUGAUUUUCCCCACACUUUUCAUUUUCUUUUUUUCAUUCGUCUCUAGCUCUAGCUCCAGAGAAACAUUAGCAAACUACUCCACUUGUACCUGAAAGUUCUUCAGUUCCUCAAGAACUUCGUCAAUAAGCGUUGGUGAUUAUAAUUUCAUAUGAUUGGAGUUUUAUGGAAACACAAUAUUAUGAUAACUCUAUCGGAAAAUUACUCGACGAUUAUUUUAUUUGAUGCAUAUGCUAAGGGAGAAAUUCAACAAUGAAAGCUCUUCCUUUAAUUUUUACUAAAUUAG
RNAcentral lists this unclassified non-coding RNA (1804 nucleotides) under Hevea brasiliensis (rubber tree). The record is from RNAcentral. Lineage: Eukaryota; Viridiplantae; Streptophyta; Magnoliopsida; Malpighiales; Euphorbiaceae.